Molecule: ribosomal RNA, 2799 nt
Filed under: Klebsiella variicola
Lineage: Bacteria; Pseudomonadati; Pseudomonadota; Gammaproteobacteria; Enterobacterales; Enterobacteriaceae
Description: bacterial LSU rRNA
Rfam family: Bacterial large subunit ribosomal RNA
Source: RNAcentral
CGGCGAUGUCCGAAUGGGGAAACCCAGUGCAAUUCGUUGCACUAUCGUUAACUGAAUACAUAGGUUAACGAGGCGAACCGGGGGAACUGAAACAUCUAAGUACCCCGAGGAAAAGAAAUCAACCGAGAUUCCCCCAGUAGCGGCGAGCGAACGGGGAGCAGCCCAGAGUCUGAAUCAGCUUGUGUGUUAGUGGAACGGUCUGGAAAGUCCGACGGUACAGGGUGAUAGUCCCGUACACCAAAAUGCACAGGUUGUGAACUCGAAGAGUAGGGCGGGACACGUGGUAUCCUGUCUGAAUAUGGGGGGACCAUCCUCCAAGGCUAAAUACUCCUGACUGACCGAUAGUGAACCAGUACCGUGAGGGAAAGGCGAAAAGAACCCCGGCGAGGGGAGUGAAAAAGAACCUGAAACCGUGUACGUACAAGCAGUGGGAGCACCUUCGGGUGUGACUGCGUACCUUUUGUAUAAUGGGUCAGCGACUUAUAUUCUGUAGCAAGGUUAACCGUAUAGGGGAGCCGCAGGGAAACCGAGUCUUAACUGGGCGUUAAGUUGCAGGGUAUAGACCCGAAACCCGGUGAUCUAGCCAUGGGCAGGUUGAAGGUUGGGUAACACUAACUGGAGGACCGAACCGACUAAUGUUGAAAAAUUAGCGGAUGACUUGUGGCUGGGGGUGAAAGGCCAAUCAAACCGGGAGAUAGCUGGUUCUCCCCGAAAGCUAUUUAGGUAGCGCCUCGUGAACUCAUCUUCGGGGGUAGAGCACUGUUUCGGCUAGGGGGUCAUCCCGACUUACCAACCCGAUGCAAACUACGAAUACCGAAGAAUGUUAUCACGGGAGACACACGGCGGGUGCUAACGUCCGUCGUGAAGAGGGAAACAACCCAGACCGCCAGCUAAGGUCCCAAAGUCAUGGUUAAGUGGGAAACGAUGUGGGAAGGCACAGACAGCCAGGAUGUUGGCUUAGAAGCAGCCAUCAUUUAAAGAAAGCGUAAUAGCUCACUGGUCGAGUCGGCCUGCGCGGAAGAUGUAACGGGGCUAAACCAUGCACCGAAGCUGCGGCAGCGACACUAUGUGUUGUUGGGUAGGGGAGCGUUCUGUAAGCCUGCGAAGGUGGCCUGUGAGGGCUGCUGGAGGUAUCAGAAGUGCGAAUGCUGACAUAAGUAACGAUAAAGCGGGUGAAAAGCCCGCUCGCCGGAAGACCAAGGGUUCCUGUCCAACGUUAAUCGGGGCAGGGUGAGUCGACCCCUAAGGCGAGGCCGAAAGGCGUAGUCGAUGGGAAACAGGUUAAUAUUCCUGUACUUGGUGUUACUGCGAAGGGGGGACGGAGAAGGCUAUGUUAGCCGGGCGACGGUUGUCCCGGUUUAAGCAUGUAGGCGGAGGUUCCAGGUAAAUCCGGUACCUUUUAACGCUGAGGUGUGAUGACGAGGCACUACGGUGCUGAAGUAACAAAUGCCCUGCUUCCAGGAAAAGCCUCUAAGCAUCAGGUAACAUUAAAUCGUACCCCAAACCGACACAGGUGGUCAGGUAGAGAAUACCAAGGCGCUUGAGAGAACUCGGGUGAAGGAACUAGGCAAAAUGGUGCCGUAACUUCGGGAGAAGGCACGCUGGUGUGUAGGUGAAGUCCCUGCGGAUGGAGCUGAGACCAGUCGAAGAUACCAGCUGGCUGCAACUGUUUAUUAAAAACACAGCACUGUGCAAACACGAAAGUGGACGUAUACGGUGUGACGCCUGCCCGGUGCCGGAAGGUUAAUUGAUGGGGUUAUCCGUAAGGAGAAGCUCUUGAUCGAAGCCCCGGUAAACGGCGGCCGUAACUAUAACGGUCCUAAGGUAGCGAAAUUCCUUGUCGGGUAAGUUCCGACCUGCACGAAUGGCGUAAUGAUGGCCAGGCUGUCUCCACCCGAGACUCAGUGAAAUUGAACUCGCUGUGAAGAUGCAGUGUACCCGCGGCAAGACGGAAAGACCCCGUGAACCUUUACUAUAGCUUGACACUGAACAUUGAGCCUUGAUGUGUAGGAUAGGUGGGAGGCUUUGAAGCGUGGACGCCAGUCUGCGUGGAGCCAACCUUGAAAUACCACCCUUUAAUGUUUGAUGUUCUAACGUUGGCCCCUUAUCGGGGUUGCGGACAGUGUCUGGUGGGUAGUUUGACUGGGGCGGUCUCCUCCCAAAGAGUAACGGAGGAGCACGAAGGUUAGCUAAUCCUGGUCGGACAUCAGGAGGUUAGUGCAAUGGCAUAAGCUAGCUUGACUGCGAGCGUGACGGCGCGAGCAGGUGCGAAAGCAGGUCAUAGUGAUCCGGUGGUUCUGAAUGGAAGGGCCAUCGCUCAACGGAUAAAAGGUACUCCGGGGAUAACAGGCUGAUACCGCCCAAGAGUUCAUAUCGACGGCGGUGUUUGGCACCUCGAUGUCGGCUCAUCACAUCCUGGGGCUGAAGUAGGUCCCAAGGGUAUGGCUGUUCGCCAUUUAAAGUGGUACGCGAGCUGGGUUUAGAACGUCGUGAGACAGUUCGGUCCCUAUCUGCCGUGGGCGCUGGAGAAUUGAGGGGGGCUGCUCCUAGUACGAGAGGACCGGAGUGGACGCAUCACUGGUGUUCGGGUUGUCAUGCCAAUGGCACUGCCCGGUAGCUAAAUGCGGAAGAGAUAAGUGCUGAAAGCAUCUAAGCACGAAACUUGCCCCGAGAUGAGUUCUCCCUGAGACUUUAAGUCUCCUGAAGGAACGUUGAAGACGACGACGUUGAUAGGCCGGGUGUGUAAGCGCAGCGAUGCGUUGAGCUAACCGGUACUAAUGAACCGUGAGGCUUAACCUU